UGCGUAGGUGGGCAGGUAAGUCAGUGGUGAAAUCUCCGGGCUUAACUCGGAAACUGCCAUUGAUACUAUCUGUCUUGAAUACCGUGGAGGUCAGCGGAAUAUGUCAUGUAGCGGUGAAAUGCUUAGAUAUGACAUAGAACACCAAUUGCGAAGGCAGCUGGCUACACGAAUAUUGACACUGAUGCACGAAAGCUGGGGAUCAAACA
RNAcentral lists this ribosomal RNA (206 nucleotides) under uncultured bacterium. Its description in RNAcentral is "partial 16S ribosomal RNA". It matches the Rfam family "Bacterial small subunit ribosomal RNA", at positions 568 to 774 of the family's 1533-position model. The record is from RNAcentral.